CCCGCUGAACUUAAGCAUAUCAAUAAGCGGAGGAAAAGAAACCAACAGGGAUUGCCUUAGUAACGGCGAGUGAAGCGGCAAAAGCUCAAAUUUGAAAUCUGGCAGUAAUGUCCGAGUUGUAAUUUGAAGAAGGUAACUUUGGUGAUAGCUCUUGCAUAUGUUCCUUGGAACAGAACGUCACAGAGGGUGAGAAUCCCGUCUAGAACUGAUGGCCGCGUCCAUGUGAAACACCUUCGACGAGUCGAGUUGUUUGGGAAUGCAGCUCAAAAUGGGUGGUAAAUUUCAUCUAAAGCUAAAUAUUGGCCAGAGACCGAUAGCGCACAAGUAGAGUGAUCGAAAGAUGAAAAGUACUUUGAAAAGAGAGUUAAACAGUAUGUGAAAUUGUUGAAAGGGAAGCGCUUGCAACCAGACUUGUGUGUGGCGGUUCCCCCGGUCUUCUGACCGGGUUAUUCUGUCAUAACCAGGCCAGCAUCGAUUUAGGUGGCCAGUUAAAGGCUCUGGGAAGGUAUCUACCUUCGGGUCGACUUACAGCCCAGGGUGUAAUGUGGCCUACCUGGAUCGAGGAACGCGCUCUUUGCCCGGAUGUUGGCGUAAUGGUUGCAAGCGGCCCGUCUUGAAACACGG
This 624-nucleotide ribosomal RNA is filed under the name uncultured fungus. RNAcentral describes it as "eukaryotic LSU rRNA". It matches the Rfam family "Eukaryotic large subunit ribosomal RNA", at positions 24 to 664 of the family's 3401-position model. Lineage: Eukaryota; Fungi. The record is from RNAcentral.